AGUGAACGCUGGCGGUAGGCCUAACACAUGCAAGUCGAACGGCAGCACAGUAAGAGCUUGCUCUUACGGGUGGCGAGUGGCGGACGGGUGAGGAAUACAUCGGAAUCUACUUUUUCGUGGGGGAUAACGUAGGGAAACUUACGCUAAUACCGCAUACGACCUACGGGUGAAAGCAGGGGAUCUUCGGACCUUGCGCGAUUGAAUGAGCCGAUGUCGGAUUAGCUAGUUGGCGGGGUAAAGGCCCACCAAGGCGACGAUCCGUAGCUGGUCUGAGAGGAUGAUCAGCCACACUGGAACUGAGAAACGGUCCAGACCCCUACGGGAGGCAGCAGUGGGGAAUAUUGGACAAUGGGCGCAAGCCUGAUCCAGCCAUACCGCGUGGGUGAAGAAGGCCUUCGGGUUGUAAAGCCCUUUUGUUGGGAAAGAAAAGCAGCAGGUUAAUACCCCGCUGUUCUGACGGUACCCAAAGAAUAAGCACCGGCUAACUUCGUG
Molecule: ribosomal RNA, 492 nt
Filed under: uncultured bacterium
Lineage: Bacteria
Description: partial 16S ribosomal RNA
Rfam family: Bacterial small subunit ribosomal RNA
Source: RNAcentral